Molecule: long non-coding RNA, 2960 nt
Organism: Galeopterus variegatus (Sunda flying lemur)
Lineage: Eukaryota; Metazoa; Chordata; Mammalia; Dermoptera; Cynocephalidae
Exons: 4
Source: RefSeq, a predicted model, not a curated record
CGGCGCGGGAGAGCGCUCGGCCUUGGACUGCUGCGGCGGCGGGGGCUCGACACCGAGGGGGCCCGCCCCGGGACCCUCGCCACCAACAGGCUUCACUCGAGCGGGGCGGGGUGUCAGUUGCUAAAGUGUCUUAAUUUCCUGGCGUUACCCGCCCCCUCCCCCCACCUCCGCCAAGGCUCUGCGCGGCCCUUGGAGCCCGAAGGACAACCUGAGGCUGCUGAGACUCUCUCCCGCUUCCCCGCAUCUUGGUAUUUUCCUUUUUGCCAGCCGCAGGCGAAGCAGUCAGUGUAGCUAAAGCAACUGAAGACCCAUAUGAAGCUGAGCGCUUUUUUCAUUUCUGUUAUCCGAAGUCAACAAAAUAGCCGAAGUUCAAUGGGGUUUGCAUCCACACCCCUACCCUGCCUUCUCGCCCCCUGAUUUUGGGGCUGGGACAGAAGGGUGCGAUAGUGGACUGUACUGGACUGCAUUUUCUUCUUGUGUUGUUUUUUUGUUUGUUUUAUUUUUGCUUUUUGUACUGUUUCUUGGGUCUGCUAUUUGUAAUGAGUCCACAUCUUGUAGGCACACUUAGAGAGAGGCCCUGUUCUGUAUCUUUGGGGCAUCUGUUUUCUUGUGUAGUGAGGAAAAAGUGAGGGUGGGGCAUAAAAACUAAAAUUCUGUGAAAUUGUACUAUAAUGCUGAGUUUUGAAAAUUAAUAAUUUACCCUGUCAUCCAGCCAGUGAGAAAAAAGUUCUGACCCAAACACCAUCUUCUUAGAAAAGGUGAUUUCCAAGCAAUAAAUUUAUAAAAUAUAAAAAUUACUUAAAUGUUAAAAGCUUUUAUCUAUAACAUGAGUAUCGGGGAAACUCAAUUAUCUCGAGCAGCUCUGUUCAAUAGAAAUAUACUAUGAUAUAUAUUAUAUACACACAAUUUUAAAUUUACUAGUAGCCACGUUAAAACAAGUAACAAGAAAUGUGAAAUUAACUUCAAAAAUACAUUUUAUUUAGUCUAAUGUGUUCAAAAUACCAUCUCAACAUGUAACCAAUGUAAAAAAAGGUAUUGAGAUAUUUUACAUUUUUUAUACAGUUUUUGAAAUCCACUGUGUAUUUUACACUUAGAACACAUGUCAAUUCAAAGUACCCAUGUUCAAUUGUCCCCACUAUGUGUGGGUACUGGCUGCUGUGUUAGACAAAGCCAUUCUAGCUUAGUUCUCCCCACGACCCAUCCAAGAAUUAGGAGAUCUGCCAAGAGAUCGAAUUUGAAGUCACUGUAACAAAUAACAGUUUGUUCUGAGGAAGGGCAAGAGCAAGUUCUGUUCCAUAGAUUAAUUUUAAUUGUGGGGUCAGAACACGUUUCACCGUAUUUUCCAAGUCUCCAACAAAUUAAGAAAAGAGGCCCAGGUCUUCAUUUGGCAAAAAGCCCACAUUCUGAGGCAUCCAUCCAGUGAAAUAUAUUGAGGUUUUUCUCAGCCAAAUAAAAAUGAGGCUGAUUGUUCUUGGUAUCAAGGGAAUGCUCGACAGCUUAGUAUUUGCAAAACAUCUCUUUCAUCUGCCCCCCUGGAAGAGCUGACUGUGGCUUCCAAGCUUGUGAGCCCCCAAGGGCUCUUAAUCAGACGCUGCAGAUGCAGGUGAGGAGGGUUUUCCCGGCUCUGUGCUGCUGUGCUGUAAGUCCUACAGCCUCCUCAUGAGGCCCCUCAAUUCUCUGGAACAGGGUUUCCCUCUGGAGCUUUGUCAGUGUGUCGCAGUCAUUCUGUUUGUUUUUCUGUAUGGAUUCAGUUGUUGUUACAGCUUCUUUCACCUGAUUCCCAAGAUGUGUUCUCAAGGUCAAGUAGACUGGAGAUCUUUCAGUGCUGCCACUCACCAUCUGCCCAGGCACCAGGAUGAAGGCUGAAGCAUUUACUGGAUUGAACCCUUCCUCCAGUUACAUCCAGGGCUGAAAGAGACUUUACAGAUGGUCUCCUGCAGCGAUGAGGACACCAGAACGCAUAGGUGAAACCAUUGCUCAAGGUGGCUCAGCCGUGGCACAGCUGCUGGGGCAGCUCUCCUGGCUCUUGGGUGGCUAUUCUGUCACCCACAGAGCUUCUCUGUGACAGGAAGUGGCCUGGGUACUGGCCAGAGCCACACUUGUUUGUGCAAAAUCUUUUACAAAGCUUCAACAGAGAAACAUGACACUCAGCUCUCAGCACAACUCAAUUCAUACCUAAAUAUUUCCUAACUUAAAAAGCUAAAUGAUUUCAUCUCAAAUUUGGUUUAAUUUUUUUUUUUUAAAUUUACCUCCUAGGAAGGAUUAGAAUCACAUAAAAUAAUUUCUUUAACAAGGGUAUGAGUGGUGCCAACAGAAAUCUAGGGUAGAAACAACUUCUUGUGCUCAGCUGUAGAGGUGCUCAUGACUGCUGGUGAGGUCCCCUCCAGGCAGAGCGCUCCUUGGGCAGCUCAGCCACUGCAGUUGAGGCAGCCACCACGUCGCUUCAAGGACAUGGUGUCCAUGCUCUCUGAUGUAUGUCCACUCAUAAUUUUCUUAAAAUCAUGUCUCAAUUCAAGGUGCAUUUCCUGAGAGGCAGCAUAGUAUCAUGGAAAGAGAAGUGAAUCUGAAAUCAAAAUUCCCACCAUCGACCAAAUGACCUUUGCAGAAAUCAGUUACUAUGGCUGAGUCUCAGAUUUGUCUGAAGGAGAAUGUUAUCAAUUCUCCUGGGCCUGCCUAGCUGGGGUUGCUGUGAAGCUCCAAGGUGAUGUGAAGAGGCCUGGGGGUGGGUGGCAGUGGGUAAAUUCUCCUGAUUCUUCUCUAAGGAGCGGUUGUAUUUAGGGAAUGCUGUCCAGAACUGUUCCCUCCUUUCACCCCUGUCUUAGUCUGUUCAGGCUGCAAUAACAAAAUACCACAGACUGGGUGAGUCACAAACAACAGAAAGCCAUUUCUCAUGGUUCUGAAGGCUGGGAAGUCCAAGAUGAAGGCACCAGUAGAUUUGCUGGAGUGAGCAGGACUGAAGC